UUAGUAGUUGCAUGUUACACUCAAUGUAGAAACAAAUGUCUACUUUAAGGAUUGACUAUUACAAACCAUAGUACUUUUGCGCUUGCCAAAAAAGGACAUAUAGCACAGAUGCACAUUUUGAAAUGAGGCUUUGCAUUGUCGGCAAAUCAUCAAUUUGGACAUUGCAGAUCAAAUCUUUUUGAAAAGUAACAAAUGAGGACAAAUCCAGUCCAAGUGAAGCAUUUCCUUUUCCAAAUACUACACCUCUUUCUCAGUUAAGAAAUUGUGUAUGGAAAGAAAAUGUUACCCCAGAUGCAACUAUCAAAACCUACUUAUCUCUCAAUGAAACACACGUGCAGAAUAAAAGAAUUCAAUCUACAAAUAGAAAGCCACUUUUCGAGUUGACAUAUUGUGAACUUGACCAAAAUAAUGGGAAAGUUGCACGAAGAAGAAGGAAACUUAUUAUAAAUCAGAAGUUAGCAGAAAAAAGUAAUACCAUUGGUG
Long non-coding RNA from Vigna unguiculata (cowpea), 483 nucleotides. The record is from RefSeq and is a predicted model, not a curated record. Lineage: Eukaryota; Viridiplantae; Streptophyta; Magnoliopsida; Fabales; Fabaceae.